ACUUUCAGCGGGGAGGAAGGGAGUAAAGUUAAUACCUUUGCUCAUUGACGUUACCCGCAGAAGAAGCACCGGCUAACUCCGUGCCAGCAGCCGCGGUAAUACGGAGGGUGCAAGCGUUAAUCGGAAUUACUGGGCGUAAAGCGCACGCAGGCGGUUUGUUAAGUCAGAUGUGAAAUCCCCGGGCUCAACCUGGGAACUGCAUCUGAUACUGGCAAGCUUGAGUCUCGUAGAGGGGGGUAGAAUUCCAGGUGUAGCGGUGAAAUGCGUAGAGAUCUGGAGGAAUACCGGUGGCGAAGGCGGCCCCCUGGACGAAGACUGACGCUCAGGUGCGAAAGCGUGGGGAGCAAACAGGAUU
This 355-nucleotide ribosomal RNA is filed under the name Escherichia coli. RNAcentral's name for it is "bacterial SSU rRNA". It matches the Rfam family "Bacterial small subunit ribosomal RNA", at positions 432 to 779 of the family's 1533-position model. The record is from RNAcentral. Lineage: Bacteria; Pseudomonadati; Pseudomonadota; Gammaproteobacteria; Enterobacterales; Enterobacteriaceae. RNAcentral also lists the same sequence under 1 other name.